Anastrepha obliqua is the source of this 229-nucleotide small nuclear RNA. RefSeq annotates it as U11 spliceosomal RNA. The record is from RefSeq and is a predicted model, not a curated record. NCBI's taxonomy places the organism in Eukaryota, Metazoa, Arthropoda, Insecta, Diptera, Tephritidae. The transcript has a single exon.
AAAAAGGGUGCUCGUCUUGCACGUUAAUUCCAUUCAGGGUUGACAACCUUGCGUGCGGACGCAUUGCAGUGUUCACGUUCAACUUCAUAUAAAUUUUGAAGUGAGUGAUUUUUGUCACUUGCCUCUGUUUUAUACGAACGUAUUGGGCACUCCAGUGGGGUAUGGCUUUGCAUAUCCAGUGCAUAAUUUUUGUGAUAUGAGACAUGAACUGUCAAAGUGCAUUGCUUUU